This 480-nucleotide ribosomal RNA is filed under the name uncultured bacterium. Its description in RNAcentral is "bacterial SSU rRNA". It matches the Rfam family "Bacterial small subunit ribosomal RNA", at positions 328 to 793 of the family's 1533-position model. The record is from RNAcentral.
UCAGUCGACUCCUACGGGGAGGCAGCAGUGGGGGAAUAUUGCACAAUGGGCGCAAGCCUGAUGCAGCCAUGCCGCGUGUAUGAAGAAGGACCUUCGGGUUGUAAAGUACUUUCAGCAGUGAGGAAGGUGGGUAUGGUUAAUAGCAUAUUCAUUUGACGUUAGCUGCAGAAGAAGCACCGGCUAACUCCGUGCCAGCAGCCGCGGUAAUACGGAGGGUGCGAGCGUUAAUCGGAAUUACUGGGCGUAAAGCGCAUGCAGGUGGUUUGUUAAGUCAGAUGUGAAAGCCCGGGGCGUCAACCUCGGAAUUGCAUUUGAAACUGGCAAACUAGAGUACUGUAGAGGGGGGUAGGAAUUUCAGGUGUAGCGGUGAAAUGCGUAGAGAUCUGAAGGAAUACCGGUGGCGAAGGCGGCCCCCUCGGACAGAUACUGACACUCAGAUGCGAAAGCGUGGGGAGCAAACAGGAUUAGAUACCCUGGUAG